RNAcentral lists this ribosomal RNA (503 nucleotides) under uncultured Caryophanales bacterium. RNAcentral describes it as "bacterial SSU rRNA". It matches the Rfam family "Bacterial small subunit ribosomal RNA", at positions 31 to 507 of the family's 1533-position model. Lineage: Bacteria; Bacillati; Bacillota; Bacilli; Caryophanales. The record is from RNAcentral.
AGAACGCUGGCGGCGUGCCUAAUACAUGCAAGUCGAGCGAACAGAUGAGGAGCUUGCUCCUCUGACGUUAGCGGCGGAUGGGUGAGUAACACGUGGGGCAACCCUGCCCCUGUAGUUUGGGGAGUAACUCCGGGAAACCGGGGGCGUAAUACCGAAUGAAUCAUUUCUUCACAUGAAGGAAUGCUGAAAGACGGCUUCGGCUGUCGCUACGGGAUGGGCCCGCGGCGCAUUAGCUAGUUGGUAAGGUAAUGGCUUACCAAGGCGACGAUGCGUAGCCGGCCUGAGAGGGUGAUCGGCCACACUGGGACUGAGACACGGCCCAGACUCCUACGGGAGGCAGCAGUAGGGAAUCUUCCACAAUGGACGAAAGUCUGAUGGAGCAACGCCGCGUGAGCGAAGAAGGUUUUCGGAUCGUAAAGCUCUGUUGUGAGGGAAGAACAAGUACAGGAGUAACUGUCUGUACAUUGACGGUACCUCAUUAGAAAGCCACGGCUAACUACGUG